This 1056-nucleotide long non-coding RNA is filed under the name Citrus maxima (pomelo). RNAcentral's name for it is "long non-coding RNA (CMAX_LNC000417)". The record is from RNAcentral. Lineage: Eukaryota; Viridiplantae; Streptophyta; Magnoliopsida; Sapindales; Rutaceae.
AACAAUAUAAUCAAACAUUUGUAAUUGAUUUUUCACUUUUACAAAUAUAAGGUUAAGAUUUUUUUAAUAGUGUAUGACGCAAUCGUUCUAGUUCUUGCUAUAUGCAUAGCUGCCACAUAUAUACAUCACAUACAAUCUUGAUUCUUGAAAUCGGAUUUGGAUAUGUUUGAACAGAUCAGAAGAAUCUGGAGCACCUACAAGUUGCAACACAAAUUUGAAAUCACACAAAUAAAAGAAAAACACAGCAAGCCAGCAAAUGGAGAAAAGAAAGACAACAAAUUGAAAGUGUUUUCAUUUUAACAUCAAUUAUUUUGUUAAUGUCUUUGGUAACAAUUGCAUCCCAAAAUCAGGAAACCUAAAUCAAGCAGUCAACCUUACAAUCACCAAAAAACAAGGAGAAUUAUCUACAGGGAAAAAAAAAAUCAGAAGCAAUUCAAAAUACCCAAAACUCUACAAGCUUUUCAAAGUCAAGGAACCUAUCCACAUAAGUUAUAACCUUUGCACCUUACAAGUUUUGAUGGAUCCGACUCCAUUAGAAACCCUUGCAAUAAGCAAAUAAAUGCAGCGGCUAGGUUUAAGAUUCUUGCAGGCUUCGGCUGGUAGCGUGGCAACGGUACAAUUCACGGGCUCAACGCCUGUCGACUGGGAUGCCGUCGGCAUGCAGCUGGGGCAUCGACGACAACUGCCGAUUUUUUUUUUUUUUUUCUCAAAGUGAUUGGUUGUGUUCGUGGGUGAUGCGGCUGUUGGUUGUGUUCGUGGGUGAUGCAUCGAUUCUUUUCUCUUUUGAUUUGGGAAUUUAAGGGAUUUAGGAAUGUUUUUCAAUUUUUAUUUCUUAUUUAUGUUUAAGUUAUAUAUUCUUUUUAAUUUUAAGUGCAAUCCGAUCGGAUUGAUCCGGAUCCGAUCCGAAUCAAAUUCGAUCGGAUUGCAAAGUUUCUAUCCGAUCGGAUUGAGAGGUCAAUUCGAAACUUAUCUGAACAUAUUCAGAUAAGUUCGGAUCGGAUCGAAUUGACCCGAAUCCAAUCCGAUGCCCACCCCUAAUUUAUGGUGCUUCAUUAG